RNAcentral lists this ribosomal RNA (497 nucleotides) under uncultured bacterium. RNAcentral's name for it is "partial 16S ribosomal RNA". It matches the Rfam family "Bacterial small subunit ribosomal RNA", at positions 899 to 1397 of the family's 1533-position model. The record is from RNAcentral.
ACUCAAAGGAAUUGACGGGGGCCCGCACAAGCGGUGGAGCAUGUGGUUCAAUUCGACGCAACGCGAAGAACCUUACCCAGGCUUGAACAGCAGAUGACAUCCUACGAAAGUAGGCUUCCGCAAGGACAUCUGUAGAGGUGCUGCAUGGCUGUCGUCAGCUCGUGUCGUGAGAUGUUGGGUUAAGUCCCGCAACGAGCGCAACCCUUGUCUUCUGUUGCCAUCAGGUUAUGCUGGGCACUCUGAAGAGACUGCCGGUGACAAACCGGAGGAAGGUGGGGAUGACGUCAAGUCAGCAUGGCCUUUAUGUCUGGGGCCACACACGUGCUACAAUGGCCGGUACAAACCGUUGCAAACUCGCGAGGGUGAGCUAAUCGGAGAAAGCCGGUCUCAGUUCGGAUUGUAGGCUGCAACUCGCCUGCAUGAAGUUGGAAUCGCUAGUAAUCGCGGAUCAGCACGCCGCGGUGAAUACGUUCCCGGGCCUUGUACACACCGCCCGU